Molecule: ribosomal RNA, 447 nt
Filed under: uncultured bacterium
Lineage: Bacteria
Description: bacterial SSU rRNA
Rfam family: Bacterial small subunit ribosomal RNA
Source: RNAcentral
UCGGGAAUUUUGGGCAAUGGGGGAAACCCUGACCCAGCAACGCCGCGUGAAGGAUGAAGUAUUUCGGUAUGUAAACUUCGAAAGAAUAGGAAGAAUAAAUGACGGUACUAUUUAUAAGGUCCGGCUAACUACGUGCCAGCAGCCGCGGUAAUACGUAGGGACCAAGCGUUGUUCGGAUUUACUGGGCGUAAAGGGCGCGUAGGCGGCAUGACAAGUCACUUGUGAAAUCUCUGGGCUUAACCCAGAACGGCCAAGUGAUACUGUCGCGCUAGAGUGCAGAAGGGGCAAUCGGAAUUCUUGGUGUAGCGGUGAAAUGCGUAGAUAUCAAGAGGAACACCUGAGGUGAAGACGGGUUGCUGGGCUGAUACUGACGCUGAGGCGCGAAAGCUAGGGUAGCAAACGGGAUUAGAUACCCUGGUAGUCCCUGAGCGGGCUGGCAAGGCGCAU